CGGUCCUAAGGUAGCGAAAUUCCUUGUCGGGUAAGUGCCGACCCGCACGAAAGGCGUAACGAUUUGGGCACUGUCUCAACAACAGACUCGGUGAAAUUGUAAUUCCGGUGAAGAUGCCGGAUACCUGCGACAGGACGGAAAGACCCCAUGGAGCUUUACUGUAGCUUGACAUUGGGUCUUGGUACUACAUGUACAGGAUAGGUGGGAGGCUUUGAAACCAGGACGCCAGUUUUGGCGGAGCCAUCCUUGGGAUACCACCCUUGUAG
This 266-nucleotide ribosomal RNA is filed under the name Clostridioides difficile. RNAcentral describes it as "partial 23S ribosomal RNA". It matches the Rfam family "Bacterial large subunit ribosomal RNA", at positions 1946 to 2211 of the family's 2925-position model. The record is from RNAcentral. Lineage: Bacteria; Bacillati; Bacillota; Clostridia; Peptostreptococcales; Peptostreptococcaceae.